RNAcentral lists this ribosomal RNA (1095 nucleotides) under Triticum aestivum (bread wheat). RNAcentral's name for it is "partial small subunit ribosomal RNA". The record is from RNAcentral. Lineage: Eukaryota; Viridiplantae; Streptophyta; Magnoliopsida; Poales; Poaceae.
AUGGAGCUGGUGGGGCGGCUGGCGUGCUUGGUGGCGGCGGCGGCGGCGGCGCUGGCGCUGGCGACGGUGGCGAGGUGCGACCCGCAGGUGCCGUGCUACUUCAUCUUCGGCGACUCGCUGGUGGACAACGGCAACAACAACUACAUCGUGUCCCUGGCGCGCGCCAACUACCCGCCCUACGGCAUCGACUUCGCCGGCGGCCCGUCGGGGCGCUUCACCAACGGCCUCACAACCGUCGACGUCAUCGCUCAACUUCUGGGCUUCGACAAUUUUAUCCCUCCCUACGCGGCGACGGGCGGCGACCAGCUCCUCAACGGCGUCAACUUCGCCUCCGCCGCCGCCGGGAUCCGUGCCGAGACCGGCCAGCAGCUGGGCGGCCGGAUCCCGUUCGCGGGGCAGGUGCAGAACUACCAGACGGCGGUGCAGACGCUGGUGAACAUCCUGGGCGACCGGGACACGGCGUCGGAGCGGCUGAGCCAGUGCAUCUUCACGGUGGGCAUGGGCAGCAACGACUACCUCAACAACUACUUCCAGCCGGCCUUCUACAACACCGGCAGCCGCUACACGCCGGAGCAGUUCGCCGACUCGCUCAUCGCCGACUACCGCCGCUACCUCCAGGCCAUGUACAGCUACGGCGCCCGGAAGGUGGCCCUGAUCGGGGUGGGCCAGGUCGGCUGCGCCCCCAACGAGCUGGCGCGCUACAGCCCCGACGGCGCCACCUGCGUCGGCCGCAUCGACGGCGCCAUCCAGAUCUUCAACCGGCGGCUGGUCGGUCUCGUCGACCAGAUGAACACCCUCCCCGGCGCGCACUUCACCUACAUCAACGCCUACAACAUCUUCAACGACAUCCUGGCCAACGCCGCCGCCUACGGGUUCACGGAGUCCACCGCCGGGUGCUGCGGCGUGGGCCGGAACAACGGGGAGGUGACGUGCCUGCCGUACCAGGCGCCCUGCGCCAACAGGGACCAGCACAUCUUCUGGGACGCCUUCCACCCGUCGGAGGCGGCCAACAUCAUCGUCGGCCGGAGGUCCUACCGCGCCCAGUCGCCCAACGACGCCUACCCGAUGGACAUCAGCACGCUCGCAUCCCUUUGA